Molecule: ribosomal RNA, 266 nt
Filed under: uncultured prokaryote
Description: partial 16S ribosomal RNA
Rfam family: Bacterial small subunit ribosomal RNA
Source: RNAcentral
UACGGAGGAUCCGAGCGUUAUCCGGAUUUAUUGGGUUUAAAGGGUGCGCAGGCGGGAGAUUAAGUCGGCGGUGAAAUUUUGCAGCUCAACUGUAAAAGUGCCUUCGAAACUGGAUUCCUUGAGUGUAGAUGAAGUAGGCGGAAUUUGUGGUGUAGCGGUGAAAUGCAUAGAUAUCACGAGGAACUCCGAUUGCGCAGGCAGCUUACUAAGCUACUACUGACGCUCAGGCACGAAGGCGUGGGGAUCAAACAGGAUUAGAUACCCGU